RNAcentral lists this ribosomal RNA (492 nucleotides) under uncultured bacterium. RNAcentral describes it as "bacterial SSU rRNA". It matches the Rfam family "Bacterial small subunit ribosomal RNA", at positions 28 to 526 of the family's 1533-position model. The record is from RNAcentral.
GACGAACGCUGGCGGCGUGCUUAACACAUGCAAGUCGAACGCUGAAGCUGGGUGCUUGCACCUGGUGGAUGAGUGGCGAACGGGUGAGUAACACGUGAGUAACCUGCCCUUCACUCUGGGAUAAGCGCUGGAAACGGCGUCUAAUACUGGAUAUGAGCAACGGUCGCAUGGCCUGUUGUUGGAAAGAUUUAUCGGUGAUGGAUGGACUCGCGGCCUAUCAGCUUGAUGGUGGGGUAAUGGCCCACCAUGGCGACGACGGGUAGCCGGCCUGAGAGGGUGACCGGCCACACUGGGACUGAGACACGGCCCAGACUCCUACGGGAGGCAGCAGUGGGGAAUAUUGCACAAUGGGCGCAAGCCUGAUGCAGCAACGCCGCGUGAGGGAUGACGGCCUUCGGGUUGUAAACCUCUUUUGUCAGGGAAGAAGCCUUUGGGUGACGGUACCUGGAGAAAAAGCACCGGCUAACUACGUGCCAGCAGCCGCCGUAACAC